This 300-nucleotide long non-coding RNA is filed under the name Ananas comosus (pineapple). RNAcentral describes it as "long non-coding RNA (ACOM_LNC008588)". Lineage: Eukaryota; Viridiplantae; Streptophyta; Magnoliopsida; Poales; Bromeliaceae. The record is from RNAcentral.
GGUGACAAAAAAAAAUUAUAGAAAAAACAGAAAAAAAAAUAAAGAUAAAAAAUUAUAUAAAAAGAAAGAUGAACAUCAAAUUGUAUCGUUAACUGCAAAAAAAAUUAUAAGUUGCACUAUUUAAGAUGUAAACUGCAGCUUUAAGAUGAAAAACUACACUCUUUAAACGAAAAUUACACUCUUGAGAAAUAUUUUAUACUGUUUCUCUUCUUAUUACACUCUUCAGAUGUAAACUGCAUCCAUUAAGAUGAAAGUUACACUCUUUAAACAAAAGUUGUACUGUUUCUCCUCUUGUUGCAC